This 407-nucleotide small RNA is filed under the name Histoplasma ohiense. RNAcentral describes it as "hypothetical lncRNA". The record is from RNAcentral. Lineage: Eukaryota; Fungi; Ascomycota; Eurotiomycetes; Onygenales; Ajellomycetaceae.
CCCGCACUCGCUUGAUGCGCUCUUCAAGAUUUGCAUUUUUAAAGGCAGCAAAACAGAUCUUUGAGAUCCAGAUAGGGUUUGGAUGGAACCGUUUCCCUGACCUGCUGAGGGAAUUAAGGAUUUUCUGCCACCCUCUCCAGUUUUCGGAUGUUGGCCCGAGAGCACACGCGCCAGGGCCAAAGUCAGAGUAUAGGAGCAGUCCAAUCUCAUUGAUUUCGCUCUUGAUGAGUCUAAUUUUUUCUUUCAUGGUAUCAAAGCCAUCCCUUCCCCAGAAAUAUUCAUAUUCCUCGUCCGAGUAUGUUCUCGCCCCAUCACACCAAAGCAUAUGCCAUGCUCUCAAGAAGGAGCAACAAGUCGCAAAUCUUGUGUUGUACCAUUGCAAUUGCUCCCCACAGCCUCGAAAAUCG